CAAUCAUUAUUUUUCCAAAUUUCUUAAAUAUACAAGCGAUGAAAUUAAGAAAAAAUAAACCGGUGAUUUUUCCACAAAAAAACAUAAAUCCGUUAUUUUCCCGCCAAAAACGUAAACCCAUGAUUUUCCCGCCAAAAACGUAAACCCGUAAUUUUCCUGCCAAAAACCUAAACCCGUAAUUUUCCCGCCAAAAACGUAAACCCGUGAUUUUCCGCCAAAAACGUAAAUCCGUGAUUUUCCCGCAAAAACGUAAAUCCGUGAUUUUCCCGCAAAAAACGAAAACCCGUGAUUUUCCCGCCAAAAACGAAAAACCCGUGAUUUUCCCGCCAAAAACGUAAACCCGUAAUUUUCUCGCCAAAAACUUAAACCCAUAAUCUUCCCGCAAAAAAUGUAAACCCGUGAUUUUUCUGCUAAAAAAGUAAACCCGUAAUUUUUCCGCCGAAAACGUAAACUCGUAAAAAGUGAAAUCCGUAAAUAUCCUAAGUUUGAUGAUAGUGAAUUAAUAAUUAUUAAUAAUGGUAAUUAUUUAUUAUUGUUUAAUAAU
This 544-nucleotide small RNA is filed under the name Arabidopsis thaliana (thale cress). RNAcentral describes it as "ATSL219920". The record is from RNAcentral. Lineage: Eukaryota; Viridiplantae; Streptophyta; Magnoliopsida; Brassicales; Brassicaceae.